AUGGAAGUCUACUUAAAAUGCUGAAAAGAUAAUGCUCUUCCAUGGGGUUACCAAUUUGUGAUCAGUAUUUUCAGAGAGUCCAAGACUGAGUGCAUAAAGUAAGAUGCAAGAAAAGAAAAAGAUGGAAAUCUUCAAGCGCGCUUCUGGAUCUAGAAGAUAUUGACCUUAUUCUACUGAGGAUCUGAGUCUCUGGUUAAACGUUCUCUUCCAGAU
RNAcentral lists this long non-coding RNA (213 nucleotides) under Phasianus colchicus (ring-necked pheasant). Its description in RNAcentral is "lncRNA (ENSPCLG00000008791.1)". Lineage: Eukaryota; Metazoa; Chordata; Aves; Galliformes; Phasianidae. The record is from RNAcentral.